Molecule: ribosomal RNA, 910 nt
Filed under: uncultured bacterium
Lineage: Bacteria
Description: bacterial SSU rRNA
Rfam family: Bacterial small subunit ribosomal RNA
Source: RNAcentral
ACGCUGGCGGCAGGCUUAACACAUGCAAGUCGAACGGUAACAGGAGAAAGCUUGCUUUCUUGCUGACGAGUGGCGGACGGGUGAGUAAUGCUUGGGAAUCUGGCUUAUGGAGGGGGAUAACUACGGGAAACUGUAGCUAAUACCGCGUAAUAUCUUCAGAUUAAAGGGUGGGACUUUCGAGCCACCUGCCAUAAGAUGAGCCCAAGUGGGAUUAGGUAGUUGGUUAGGUAAAGGCUGACCAAGCCGACGAUCUCUAGCUGGUCUGAGAGGAUGACCAGCCACACUGGAACUGAGACACGGUCCAGACUCCUACGGGAGGCAGCAGUGGGGAAUAUUGCACAAUGGGGGGAACCCUGAUGCAGCCAUGCCGCGUGAAUGAAGAAGGCCUUCGGGUUGUAAAGUUCUUUCGGUGACGAGGAAGGUUGGUAGGUUAAUAGCCUAUCAAAUUGACGUUAAUCACAGAAGAAGCACCGGCUAACUCCGUGCCAGCAGCCGCGGUAAUACGGGGGGUGCGAGCGUUAAUCGGAAUAACUGGGCGUAAAGGGCACGCAGGCGGUGACUUAAGUGAGAUGUGAAAGCCCCGAGCUUAACUUGGGAAUUGCACUUCAUACUGGGUCGCUAGAGUACUUUAGGGAGGGGUAGAAUUCCACGUGUAGCGGUGAAAUGCGUAGAGAUGUGGAGGAAUACCGAAGGCGAAGGCAGCCCCUUGGGAAUGUACUGACGCUCAUGUGCGAAAGCGUGGGGAGCAAACAGGAUUAGAUACCCUGGUAGUCCACGCUGUAAACGAUGUCGAUUUGGGGAUUGGGCUUUGAGCUUGGUGCCCGUAGCUAACGUGAUAAAUCGACCGCCUGGGGAGUACGGCCGCAAGGUUAAAACUCAAAUGAAUUGACGGGGGCCCGCACAAGCGGUG